Molecule: ribosomal RNA, 494 nt
Filed under: uncultured bacterium
Lineage: Bacteria
Description: partial 16S ribosomal RNA
Rfam family: Bacterial small subunit ribosomal RNA
Source: RNAcentral
GACGAACGCUGGCGGCGUGCUUAACACAUGCAAGUCGAACGGUGAAGCGCCUUCCUUUUUGGUGGGUGUGGAUGAGUGGCGAACGGGUGAGUAACACGUGAGUAACCUGCCCCCUUCUCCUGGAUAACCGCAUGAAAGUGUGGCUAAUACGGGAUAUUCUGGGUCUGUCGCAUGAUGGGUCUGGGAAAGAUAUUGUUUCGGUGGGGGAUGGGCUCGCGGCCUAUCAGCUUGUUGGUGGGGUGAUGGCCUACCAAGGCGGUGACGGGUAGCCGGCCUGAGAGGGUGGACGGCCACACGGGGACUGAGACACGGCCAAGACUCCUACGGGAGGCAGCAGUGGGGAAUAUUGCACAAUGGGCGCAAGCCUGAUGCAGCGACGCCGCGGGAGGGAUGGAGGCCUGCGGGUUGUGAACCUCUUUCGCCAGUGAAGCAGGCCUGCCUCGUUUGUGGGUGGGUUGACGGUAGCUUGAUAAGAAGCGCCGGCUAACUACGUG